Molecule: ribosomal RNA, 504 nt
Filed under: uncultured bacterium
Lineage: Bacteria
Description: bacterial SSU rRNA
Rfam family: Bacterial small subunit ribosomal RNA
Source: RNAcentral
CUGGCUCAGGAUGAACGCUGGCGGCGUGCCUAACACAUGCAAGUCGAACGAAGCAUACGGACCGGAGAUUCGUCGAAGGAUCGUAUGACUUAGUGGCGGACGGGUGAGUAAUGUAUGAGCAACCUGCCUUUCAGAGGGGGACAACAGUUGGAAACGACUGCUAAUACCGCGUAACGUAUCGUGGGGGCAUCCUCGUGAUACCAAAGGAGCAAUCCGCUGAAAGAUGGGCUCAUAUCUGAUUAGCUUGUUGGCGGGGUAACGGCCCACCAAGGCGACGAUCAGUAGCCGGACUGAGAGGUUGAACGGCCACAUUGGGACUGAGAUACGGCCCAGACUCCUACGGGAGGCAGCAGUGGGGAAUAUUGGGCAAUGGGCGAAAGCCUGAACCCCAGCAACGCCGCGUGAAGGAAGAAGGUCUUCGGAUUGUAAACUUCUUUUAUGAGGGACGAAGGACGUGACGGUACCUCAUGAAUAAGCCACGGCUAACUACGUGCCAGCCGCUGC